GAAUUCACUAGUGAUUUCUGGUUGAUCCUGCCAGACCCGACUGCUAUCAGAGUGGGACUAAGCCAUGCGAGUCAACGUAGCAAUGCGUGGCGAACGGCUCAGUAACACGUAGUCAACAUGCCCAGGGGACGUGGAUAACCUCGGGAAACUGAGAUUAAACCGCGAUAGGUCAAGAUUUCUGGAAUGGAUCGUGUCUUAAAUCUACAUGGCCCCUGGAUUGGACUGCGGCCGAUCAGGCUGUUGGUGAGGUAAUGGCCCACCAAACCUAUAACCGGUACGGGCUCUGAGAGGAGAAGCCCGGAGAUGGGCACUGAGACAAGGGCCCAGGCCCUAUGGGGCGCAGCAGGCGCGUAACCUCUGCAAUGGGCGAAAGCCUGACAGGGUUACUCUGAGUGAUUUCCGCUAAGGAGAUCUUUUGGCAGCUCUAAAAAUGGUGCAGAAUAAGGGGUGGGCAAGUCUGGUGUCAGCCGCCGCGGUAAUACCAGCACCCCGAGUGGUCGGGACGAUUAUUGGGCCUAAAGCAUCCGUAGCCGGUUGUGCAAGUCCUCCGUUAAAUCCAGCCGCUCAACGGAUGGGCUGCGGAGGAUACUACAGAACUAGGAGGCGGGAGAGGCAAGCGGUACUUAGUGGGUAGGGGUAAAAUCCUUUGAUCCAUUGAAGACCACCAGUGGCGAAGGCGGCUUGCCAGAACGCGCUCGACGGUAAGGGAUGAAAGCUGGGGGAGCAAACCGGAUUAGAUACCCGGGUAGUCCCAGCUGUAAACGAUGCAGACUCGGUGAUGGGCUAGCCUCGUGUCAGCCCAGUGCCGCAGGGAAGCCGUUAAGUCUGCCGCCUGGGGAGUACGGUCGCAAGACUGAAACUUAAAGGAAUUGGCGGGGGAGCACCACAAGGGGUGAAGCCUGCGGUUCAAUUGGAUUCAACGCCGGAAAUCGAAUUCCCGCGGCC
RNAcentral lists this ribosomal RNA (945 nucleotides) under uncultured archaeon. RNAcentral describes it as "bacterial SSU rRNA". It matches the Rfam family "Archaeal small subunit ribosomal RNA", at positions 1 to 940 of the family's 1478-position model. The record is from RNAcentral.